RNAcentral lists this ribosomal RNA (374 nucleotides) under Armadillo officinalis (oak-woodland pillbug). RNAcentral describes it as "partial large subunit ribosomal RNA". It matches the Rfam family "Bacterial large subunit ribosomal RNA", at positions 1836 to 2528 of the family's 2925-position model. The record is from RNAcentral. Lineage: Eukaryota; Metazoa; Arthropoda; Malacostraca; Isopoda; Armadillidae.
UCCUAAUUUAUAUUAGGUAUAACCUGCUCACUGAAUCUUUUAAAAGCCGCAGUAUCCUGACUGUGCUAAGGUAGCAUAAUCAUUUGUUAUCUAAAUGAUAACUAGUAUGAAUGGUCUGACGAGAAAAUAACUUUCUAAAAAGAAAAAAAAUUAAAUUAAUUUAAAAGUAAAAAAGCUUUUAAGCUUUAGAAAGACGAGAAGACCCUAGAACCUGUUCUAUUUCCUAUAGUUUGUUGGGGUGACAUUAUUCAAAACAAAUAACUAUUAAAAUUUUAAUUGACUCUAUCCUUUUAUUAAAAAAAAAAAAGGUACUCUAGGGAUAACAGCAUAAUCUUCUUCUAGAGCCCUAAUCGACAAGAAAGAUUUUGACCUCG